AUUGAACGCUGGCGGCAUGCCUUACACAUGCAAGUCGAACGGUAACAGGUUAAGCUGACGAGUGGCGAACGGGUGAGUAAUGUAUCGGAACGUGCCCAGUCGUGGGGGAUAACUGCUCGAAAGAGCAGCUAAUACCGCAUACGACCUGAGGGUGAAAGCGGGGGAUCGCAAGACCUCGCGCGAUUGGAGCGGCCGAUAUCAGAUUAGGUAGUUGGUGAGGUAAAGGCUCACCAAGCCGACGAUCUGUAGCUGGUCUGAGAGGACGACCAGCCACACUGGGACUGAGACACGGCCCAGACUCCUACGGGAGGCAGCAGUGGGGAAUUUUGGACAAUGGGCGCAAGCCUGAUCCAGCCAUGCCGCGUGCGGGAGGAAGGCCUUCGGGUUGUAAACCGCUUUUGUCAGGGAAGAAAAGGUUCUGGCUAAUACCUGGGACUCAUGACGGUACCUGAAGAAUAAGCACCGGCUAACUACGUG
This 477-nucleotide ribosomal RNA is filed under the name uncultured bacterium. Its description in RNAcentral is "partial 16S ribosomal RNA". It matches the Rfam family "Bacterial small subunit ribosomal RNA", at positions 30 to 507 of the family's 1533-position model. The record is from RNAcentral.